This is a long non-coding RNA of Diprion similis, 81 nucleotides long. RefSeq lists it as uncharacterized. The transcript has 3 exons. NCBI's taxonomy places the organism in Eukaryota, Metazoa, Arthropoda, Insecta, Hymenoptera, Diprionidae. The record is from RefSeq and is a predicted model, not a curated record.
CCGGAUUUGCCCUUUCGAGCAGAGUAGUUCUGGAGAAUCUUAAUUGUGACCGGCCCGAGUCUCCUUAAUAAUAUGAUAAUA